RNAcentral lists this unclassified non-coding RNA (456 nucleotides) under Hevea brasiliensis (rubber tree). The record is from RNAcentral. Lineage: Eukaryota; Viridiplantae; Streptophyta; Magnoliopsida; Malpighiales; Euphorbiaceae.
GCUGAUGAGAGUUCUCCACAGCCUUUGAAAUUGUUUGCCAUUUCUCACCAUGUUUGGGUUCUGCAGCAAUACAUCUCUUCAGUACGUCCUUCUGAUUCUCAUCAACACCAUGCUGAAGUUCGAAUUUGUAGUAUAAAGCCCAAAAAUCACCAACAUCUGGAGCAAGAGUUACUGCCCUGUUCAGCCAAGUUCUAGCUUUGUCAACCUUCCGGUCAUGCCAAAACAAUUUGGCCACAGCAGCAAUAACGUGAGGAUCAUGAUCACAUUUUUUAAGUGCAUCCAUGCUCUUGGUUUUACGUUGUGGACGAGGUACCAUCUCGAUUGAGGCUGCCCACAAUAUGCCACUAUUUGGACAUUCUUGCAGUGCCUUGGCCAUCAAAAUAUCAGCUUCUUUCUUAUUGCCAUGCCUCAAUUCAGCUCGCACUGCAGAAAGCCAAAGUUCAGGGUUUUGAGGAU